CGGGACACGUGGUAUCCUGUCUGAAUAUGGGGGGACCAUCCUCCAAGGCUAAAUACUCCUGACUGACCGAUAGUGAACCAGUACCGUGAGGGAAAGGCGAAAAGAACCCCGGCGAGGGGAGUGAAAAAGAACCUGAAACCGUGUACGUACAAGCAGUGGGAGCACAGAGCAAUCUGUGUGACUGCGUACCUUUUGUAUAAUGGGUCAGCGACUUAUAUUCUGUAGCAAGGUUAACCGAAUAGGGGAGCCGAAGGGAAACCGAGUCUUAACUGGGCGUUAAGUUGCAGGGUAUAGACCCGAAACCCGGUGAUCUAGCCAUGGGCAGGUUGAAGGUUGGGUAACACUAACUGGAGGACCGAACCGACUAAUGUUGAAAAAUUAGCGGAUGACUUGUGGCUGGGGGUGAAAGGCCAAUCAAACCGGGAGAUAGCUGGUUCUCCCCGAAAGCUAUUUAGGUAGCGCCUCGUGAAUUCAUCUCCGGGGGUAGAGCACUGUUUCGGCAAGGGGGUCAUCCCGACUUACCAACCCGAUGCAAACUGCGAAUACCGGAGAAUGUUAUCACGGGAGACACACGGCGGGUGCUAACGUCCGUCGUGAAGAGGGAAACAACCCAGACCGCCAGCUAAGGUCCCAAAGUCAUGGUUAAGUGGGAAACGAUGUGGGAAGGCCCAGACAGCCAGGAUGUUGGCUUAGAAGCAGCCAUCAUUUAAAGAAAGCGUAAUAGCUCACUGGUCGAGUCGGCCUGCGCGGAAGAUGUAACGGGGCUAAACCAUGCACCGAAGCUGCGGCAGCGACACUAUGUGUUGUUGGGUAGGGGAGCGUUCUGUAAGCCUGUGAAGGUGUGCUGUGAGGCAUGCUGGAGGUAUCAGAAGUGCGAAUGCUGACAUAAGUAACGAUAAAGCGGGUGAAAAGCCCGCUCGCCGGAAGACCAAGGGUUCCUGUCCAACGUUAAUCGGGGCAGGGUGAGUCGACCCCUAAGGCGAGGCCGAAAGGCGUAGUCGAUGGGAAACAGGUUAAUAUUCCUGUACUUGGUGUUACUGCGAAGGGGGGACGGAGAAGGCUAUGUUGGCCGGGCGACGGUUGUCCCGGUUUAAGCGUGUAGGCUGGUUUUCCAGGCAAAUCCGGAAAAUCAAGGCUGAGGCGUGAUGACGAGGCACUACGGUGCUGAAGCAACAAAUGCCCUGCUUCCAGGAAAAGCCUCUAAGCAUCAGGUAACAUCAAAUCGUACCCCAAACCGACACAGGUGGUCAGGUAGAGAAUACCAAGGCGCUUGAGAGAACUCGGGUGAAGGAACUAGGCAAAAUGGUGCCGUAACUUCGGGAGAAGGCACGCUGAUAUGUAGGUGAAGCGACUUGCUCGUGGAGCUGAAAUCAGUCGAAGAUACCAGCUGGCUGCAACUGUUUAUUAAAAACACAGCACUGUGCAAACACGAAAGUGGACGUAUACGGUGUGACGCCUGCCCGGUGCCGGAAGGUUAAUUGAUGGGGUCAGCGCAAGCGAAGCUCUUGAUCGAAGCCCCGGUAAACGGCGGCCGUAACUAUAACGGUCCUAAGGUAGCGAAAUUCCUUGUCGGGUAAGUUCCGACCUGCACGAAUGGCGUAAUGAUGGCCAGGCUGUCUCCACCCGAGACUCAGUGAAAUUGAACUCGCUGUGAAGAUGCAGUGUACCCGCGGCAAGACGGAAAGACCCCGUGAACCUUUACUAUAGCUUGACACUGAACAUUGAGCCUUGAUGUGUAGGAUAGGUGGGAGGCUUGGAAGUGUGGACGCCAGUCUGCAUGGAGCCGACCUUGAAAUACCACCCUUUAAUGUUUGAUGUUCUAACGUUGACCCGUAAUCCGGGUUGCGGACAGUGUCUGGUGGGUAGUUUGACUGGGGCGGUCUCCUCCUAAAGAGUAACGGAGGAGCACGAAGGUUGGCUAAUCCUGGUCGGACAUCAGGAGGUUAGUGCAAUGGCAUAAGCCAGCUUGACUGCGAGCGUGACGGCGCGAGCAGGUGCGAAAGCAGGUCAUAGUGAUCCGGUGGUUCUGAAUGGAAGGGCCAUCGCUCAACGGAUAAAAGGUACUCCGGGGAUAACAGGCUGAUACCGCCCAAGAGUUCAUAUCGACGGCGGUGUUUGGCACCUCGAUGUCGGCUCAUCACAUCCUGGGGCUGAAGUAGGUCCCAAGGGUAUGGCUGUUCGCCAUUUAAAGUGGUACGCGAGCUGGGUUUAGAACGUCGUGAGACAGUUCGGUCCCUAUCUGCCGUGGGCGCUGGAGAACUGAGGGGGGCUGCUCCUAGUACGAGAGGACCGGAGUGGACGCAUCACUGGUGUUCGGGUUGUCAUGCCAAUGGCACUGCCCGGUAGCUAAAUGCGGAAGAGAUAAGUGCUGAAAGCAUCUAAGCACGAAACUUGCCCCGAGAUGAGUUCUCCCUGACUCCUUGAGAGUCCUGAAGGAACGUUGAAGACGACGACGUUGAUAGGCCGGGUGUGUAAGCGCAGCGAUGCGUUGAGCUAACCGGUACUAAUGAACCGUGAGG
RNAcentral lists this ribosomal RNA (2519 nucleotides) under Escherichia coli. Its description in RNAcentral is "partial 23S ribosomal RNA". It matches the Rfam family "Bacterial large subunit ribosomal RNA", at positions 418 to 2915 of the family's 2925-position model. The record is from RNAcentral. Lineage: Bacteria; Pseudomonadati; Pseudomonadota; Gammaproteobacteria; Enterobacterales; Enterobacteriaceae.